This 19-nucleotide unclassified non-coding RNA is filed under the name synthetic construct. The record is from RNAcentral.
UCCCCACGCGUGUGGGGAU